Molecule: long non-coding RNA, 499 nt
Organism: Manis javanica (Malayan pangolin)
Lineage: Eukaryota; Metazoa; Chordata; Mammalia; Pholidota; Manidae
Source: RefSeq, a predicted model, not a curated record
CCUGUGUGUCCUGCAGCAAAGUAUUUAAUCUCACUGUGCUUCUGUUUUGUCACUUAUUAAAUGCAGACAAUAAUACCGACCUCAUUGGACUGCUGCGAGGUGUUGAAGUCCCAGCAUUUCAGACCCAGCUAGGCUCACUGGGCUCAGGCCCUCCCUACAACCCUGGAGAAACCUGGAGUUGGGAGAAGUACACCCACGUGAAAAGGAACCGUGAUCCUACAGAAGGUCCAAGAAACAGCAAUCAUAAGAUUUUCAAUCCACAUUCAAGUCCAAUAUCCACAUCUAGAGAACAGGCCUCAACACCUGGACAGAUGAUUUUGUGUCCUGUUUCCGAAGGCCUCCAUUCCACGGUGAUAAAGGGACUCCUUUGUGAUUGUUUUAAUCAAGAAUGGUAGCUGUUUGUCAUAUGCCUUUUCAACACUCAUGGAGUAUGAUUUUUCUUAAAUCUAUGAUCACGAGGAACUGUGUAUUUAUGAAUUUCCUGAAUUAUAUUAAUAAA